GCCAGACUCCUACGGGAGGCAGCAGUGGGGAAUAUUGCACAAUGGGGGAAACCCUGAUGCAGCGACGCCGCGUGGGUGAGGAAGUAUUUCGGUAUGUAAAGCCCUAUCAGCAGGGAAGAAGAUGACAGUACCUGACUAAGAAGCCCCGGCUAACUACGUGCCAGCAGCCGCGGUAAUACGUAGGGGGCAAGCGUUAUCCGGAUUUACUGGGUGUAAAGGGAGCGCAGGUGGCAAGGCAAGCCAGAAGUGAAAGCCCGGGGCCCAACCCCGGGACUGCUCUUGGAACUGCGUGGCUGGAGUGCAGGAGGGGCAGGCGGAAUUCCUGGUGUAGCGGUGAAAUGCGUAGAUAUCAGGAGGAACACCGGUGGCGAAGGCGGCCUGCUGGACUGCAACUGACGUUGAGGCCCGAAAGCGUGGGGAGCAAACAGGAUUAGAUACCCUCGUAGA
Molecule: ribosomal RNA, 447 nt
Filed under: uncultured bacterium
Lineage: Bacteria
Description: bacterial SSU rRNA
Rfam family: Bacterial small subunit ribosomal RNA
Source: RNAcentral